Molecule: ribosomal RNA, 200 nt
Filed under: uncultured bacterium
Lineage: Bacteria
Description: partial 16S ribosomal RNA
Rfam family: Bacterial small subunit ribosomal RNA
Source: RNAcentral
AUUGAACGCUGGCGGCAUGCCUUACACAUGCAAGUCGAACGGUAACGCGGGGCAACCUGGCGACGAGUGGCGAACGGGUGAGUAAUGCAUCGGAACGUGCCCAGAAGUGGGGGAUAGCCCGGCGAAAGCCGGAUUAAUACCGCAUGAGACCUGAGGGUGAAAGCGGGGGAUAGCAAGACCUCGCGCUUUUGGAGCGGCCG